This 693-nucleotide ribosomal RNA is filed under the name uncultured bacterium. RNAcentral describes it as "bacterial SSU rRNA". It matches the Rfam family "Bacterial small subunit ribosomal RNA", at positions 8 to 719 of the family's 1533-position model. The record is from RNAcentral.
AGGGUUUGAUCAUGGCUCAGGACGAACGCUGGCGGCAUGCCUAACACAUGCAAGUCGAACGAGAAAGUUCCUUCGGGAGCAAUUAAAGUGGCGCACGGGUGAGUAACGCGUAGACAAUCUGCCCUUCAGUCUGGGACAACUUUUCGAAAGGAGAGCUAAUACCGGAUAACAAUGCAUGACACAAGUUGUAUAUUUGAAAGCUUUAUGUGCUGAAGGAGGGGUCUGCGUCCCAUUAGCUAGUUGGUAAGGUAAAGGCUUACCAAGGCAACGAUGGGUAGCGGGUUUGAGAGGACGAUCCGCCACACUGGAACUGAGACACGGUCCAGACUCCUACGGGAGGCAGCAGUGGGGAAUAUUGCACAAUGGAGGAAACUCUGAUGCAGCAAUGUCGCGUGAGUGAAGAAGGCCCUUGGGUCGUAAAGCUCUUUUAUGGGGGAAGAUGAUGACGGUACCCCAAGAAUAAGCACCGGCUAACUAUGUGCCAGCAGCCGCGGUAAUACAUAGGGUGCGAGCGUUGUUCGGAAUUACUGGGCGUAAAGGGCGCGCAGGCGGAAUAGUAAGUCGGAGGUGAAAGCCCGGGGCUCAACCCCGGAGGGUCUUUCGAAACUACUAAUCUAGAGAGGGUCAGGGGCCGGCAGAAUUCCUGGUGUAGAGGUGAAAUUCGUAGAUAUCAGGAGGAAUACCGGUGGCGAA